UGUGUGUGUGUGUGUGUGUGUGUGUAUGUGUGUGUGUGUGUGUAUGUGAGAGAGAGAGACACUUAAUAGAACGAGUGAUUUUAUAUCACAGUGAGAAAUACGUCUGCAUUUAGAAUGCAGCUCACUUCAGAUCAUGCCAGUAAAGGACAAGCAUAGGAAAAAAAAAAGAGGACAGUGAAAGAAAGAAGAAAAAUGUGGAAAAUAAAUGGAGUGCUGACAUCUCAGAGUCAAGAGCUGGAAACACUGCAAGAGACAGAACACAGAUUAAUGUGCGGCUUUAUGAAGAUGGACUGAUGGAGGAGAUCAGAAACACUCGCAGACCUGAUCAACACUACAGAUCAAAUCUCUGACAUAUAUAUCAAUAUAUAUCAAUCAUAUGAAUAUGUAAUCAGAGUUUAAACUCGUGUGUUUUCUCUCUAGUUUCUGCAGCAGACGUUCAAGUCGCAAACAGGCGCGUGCACGUGAAUGAAGAGUUUCUCCAGCACAUGACACUCCUUUGAUUCUCAAUGAAUGGCGCCUCUGACCUUUCCAUUGAGAAAAAGCCACAGUAAGCUCUGCCCCCUGACACGAUUGGUCAGAACGAAGAGGCGCCGCCCACCUGAGCUCCCGCCUCUCUUUAAAGGGGUCGGACCGGCAACAUGUGACUCGAUUACAGCGUGGGAGUAAAAAGGGGAAAGAAGAACAGACCAGGACAGGAAUGAGGGGAAACCGGAGGAGAGGAACGAAAGAAAGAGAGAAAGGUGGAGAUAUAAUGAAGGGAGAUGAGAGGUUUCUGCUGGACGAAUCACUGCUACCUGACAGACGUCAACACUCCAGACAGGAUUCAUUGGGAAAGAAGAGAAAGAACAUGUGAAGUGGAAAACAGCAGGUUUACAAACAGGUAUCUCACGUCAGGCUUGAUUGUGCAAUUGUUUGCCGACUCAAGAUAGCCAACGAGGAACAGGUUUGGGUUCAGACGAGAAAGAGUGAAAGAGAAAAGAUGGGAAGAAAAGAAACGAGAGCGAAGUGAGGAACAGAAAAAAGGCUGUUUUACUGUCAUCUUGACAGACGAGAAAGAGCAUCCGACACCUUCAACACACACAGAGCGCCGGGCCAUUAGAAGACGUUAUGAAAUAUCAGCUUCCACAGCAGACGUUCACCUGAAGGAUCUCUGCCAUCAUCUGUCGCUCAUUCUUCAGCAGUCCCAUAAAGCUCAGGAGCAGAUCUGACGUGAAUUGGUACGUCCUGCAGUCAGACAUACUAAACUCUUCAAUCUAGAAACUAUUUUAAAUUAGCAACUAAUUCUCGUGUAAUAAAUGUGUUCAUUUUAAUUGAGGGAUACCCAAAAUAUUUGGACUCUUCAGCAAAUGGCAAAAUAUGAGAAACCGUCUAAGAAUUGGGCAACCAGUUACAGCAGCUAAAAGAAACAUCUUCCUAAUAUGUUCAUCUGAGCUCGAUCUUUCAGAGACUGUAAGCAGCGAGAGUCUGAGACGUUGCCAUUGUGUUUGUCCUUGUUCUCUGUGUAAUGGCGGGUGAGUGAACGAGAGCAAGAGCAUGUGGGUGAAGGGUAACGCAUGCUUUUAUGAAUGGGCUGCUGGGAGGAGCGCUCUGAUUGGUCAGAUCCAUGUCUCUGUCUAUAGUGAAAUACGACACCACAGCACAACACACCGCCUUACAAUGUGACACAACCGUUUCCCACUGCUGCUUUUAUCAGCAGUUAAAACACAGCUGUAAGAUCAGGGAUGUGCUGAAAGAGAAGGCUAUUCAUGAAACAUAGUCAGGUCUCGAUUCCUGUUCGUCCAGCAAAUGAUAUCUGCACACAAGGGUCAGUCAACAACAGCAGCGGUCACAUGCCGACUGAAGAAAGAGAGAUUGUACCCUCCUUCACCUAAAGCUUAAAGGGGUCAUAUGAUGCUAUUUCAAGGUUUCCUUUGUCUUUGGAGUGUUACAAGCUCUUGGUGCAUAAAGAAGAUCUGUAAAGUUGCAAAGACUAAAGUCUCAAACCCAGAGAGAU
This is an RNA transcript of Cyprinus carpio (common carp), 1993 nucleotides long. RefSeq lists it as uncharacterized. The record is from RefSeq and is a predicted model, not a curated record. NCBI's taxonomy places the organism in Eukaryota, Metazoa, Chordata, Actinopteri, Cypriniformes, Cyprinidae.